Molecule: non-coding RNA, 97 nt
Organism: Oryza brachyantha (malo sina)
Lineage: Eukaryota; Viridiplantae; Streptophyta; Magnoliopsida; Poales; Poaceae
Source: Rfam
UGUUUGCUAUGAUGACCUCUACAAGGACGGUAUCUGAGCGAUGGAUUCAUCCUUGCAUGAUUAUACCUACUCUGAGACAAAAUGUCUGAGCAAAACA